GACUCAAUGCCCAAGCAGUUAGGUGUUGAUUUCAGACUCCUCCGGUAGAGCUAACAACAAAUCAGUGAGUUGUCUUGUGUUACCAAGUUUCAAGACAUUGAAUCCUUCACGAUAUUUUGGUGGGAGAGACAACUGCUUCCAAGGAACAAUCUCCCAGCCAAGGCACCAACAAAGAGCAAAAAAAUUAGUAGAAGAUAUGCACAAAAGGCCAUCAAAGCCAUAAGACAAAAAAAACAAAGUUAUAGACAGUACCAUUCAGCCAUGAUUCUUCCAACUUCCAAGCUAAUUACUGCAAUGGAUGAGGAAAACUAGAAACUAAGAACAACAUAUCUAAAGGAAUAUCCUCAUUAUUUUAUUUGAAUACUGAAGAUAUAGCAAAAUUAUUGAUGCAAUAUGUGUGCAAAAGAGACUGCUUUCAAAUUCACUUGCUCUAGAACUGCCUGCUUUUUAUUGAUCUUUGGAUACAAAUUUGCAGGUGCCGAAAAAAGGUGAGUCUCAGAUCUGCAGAAACGAUCAGGCAAAGAGAAGGUAACCGUGCCAUGGCUGCAAAACACCAGUCGUGCACCGUGCAUGCGAAAGAGGACUCAAAUCACCAGUCAAUAUUCCACUGAUUUGCCAAGCCCAGAUAUGGGUUAGUAGCCUCAACGCUGAAAUUGUUUAUCCCCAUCAUCAUCACGCCCAAAAACAUUCAUUUGCUUGGUUUGCACACAGACAAACAUAUUCAUUAUUUGCGAGGAACUACAAACACGGUAACAGAAAUAAAAGCAAGAAAAAAAAAAGGAAAGCAAAUCAUAUGCUUACCAGAGAAGGAAGGGAACCACCAUCACGAAAAUCCCACAUUUCACUCAAAUGCCUCAUUCUUGACCUAUUACGGAUAAAAGAUUUGGCAACACAUUACGAGGGAACAACAAUAUAACUUCACUUGUAUGCAAAAAGGUGUGGGUUCGAUAUAUUCCAUAUACAAGCAUAAAAAAAAUAUACUUUCCUUAGCAAAUUGAGGCUCAGAUAUAAGGCAAAAGAGAAGUCAACGAUGCCAUGGCUGCAAAACAUUGGUUGUGUGUGUGAGAGAAGAAACUCUUAUCACAGGUAGCAUAAUGCCAGGUAGACACUUUUAGCAAUCACAGCCAUACUGGAUUGCCACGCCAAGAUACGGAUCAGAUCGUCUCCAUGCCUGAACUGGUUAGCCCAGAUUUAGAAAAAGUUAUCAUCACUGCCUUUUUUAGAGUCCAAAGUCAUAAAGGAGACAGACUGAAGAAACAAGGAAACUGAAGUGUUUGGCUUUUGAGUAUGUAUCACAACAACAGGACCCAAAGAAACCAAGAAACUGAAGUUGAUAUAUUUUCUCUUUUUCUUUUUUUUAAGGGCUGUUGGUUUAUUGAGAAGGGGAGAAUCAUAGGCAAAGCAGAGAGGGGCAACCACCCUUGAAAGAAAUCCCAUACUCUCUGCUGCCUCAUACUCGUCAUUUCUGCUAAAAUAAGAGACUUCGUUUAGAUGAGAGCUUUUAACUGAAGAGACCUCACAAGUCUGCAUUUAAGAGAAUUCACAACUUCAACUGCAACAAUGUCCAAACGCCUACUUAUGUUCUUCAACAAAUUGAGGCUCAGAUGCAUGUAAUGAUAUGGCAAAAGAGAAGCCAGUCUCACCAUGGCUGCAAAACACCGAUUGCAUGAGAGGGAGAGAAGUUCUCAACAGGCC
Molecule: long non-coding RNA, 1695 nt
Filed under: Solanum tuberosum (potato)
Lineage: Eukaryota; Viridiplantae; Streptophyta; Magnoliopsida; Solanales; Solanaceae
Description: long non-coding RNA (STUB_LNC006921)
Source: RNAcentral